RNAcentral lists this transfer RNA (67 nucleotides) under Euretidae gen. sp. DVL-2014. RNAcentral's name for it is "tRNA-Ile". The record is from RNAcentral. Lineage: Eukaryota; Metazoa; Porifera; Hexactinellida; Sceptrulophora; Euretidae.
CAAGAAAUAAUUUAAAAAAAUUCUGUACCGAUAAUACAGCCUUGUAAAUAAUACCUUACUUUCCUAA